This 468-nucleotide ribosomal RNA is filed under the name uncultured bacterium. RNAcentral describes it as "bacterial SSU rRNA". It matches the Rfam family "Bacterial small subunit ribosomal RNA", at positions 335 to 795 of the family's 1533-position model. The record is from RNAcentral.
ACUCCUACGGGAGGCAGCAGUGGGGAAUUUUGGACAAUGGGCGAAAGCCUGAUCCAGCCAUGCCGCGUGAGUGAAGAAGGCCUUCGGGUUGUAAAGCUCUUUUAGUCGGAAAGAAAGAGUCGCAAUGAAUAAUUGUGAUUUAUGACGGUACCGACAGAAAAAGCACCGGCUAACUACGUGCCAGCAGCCGCGGUAAUACGUAGGGUGCGAGCGUUAAUCGGAAUUACUGGGCGUAAAGGGUGCGCAGGCGGUUUUGCAAGUCAGAUGUGAAAGCCCCGGGCUUAACCUGGGAAUUGCGUUUGAAACUACAAGGCUAGAGUGCAGCAGAGGGGAGUGGAAUUCCAUGUGUAGCAGUGAAAUGCGUAGAGAUGUGGAGGAACACCGAUGGCGAAGGCAGCUCCCUGGGUUGACACUGACGCUCAUGCACGAAAGCGUGGGGAGCGAACAGGAUUAGAUACCCUGGUAGUC